AUUGAACGCUGGCGGCAUGCCUUACACAUGCAAGUCGAACGGCAGCACGGGGGCAACCCUGGUGGCGAGUGGCGAACGGGUGAGUAACACAUCGGAACGUGCCCAGUAGUGGGGGAUAGCUCGGCGGAAGCCGGAUUAAUACCGCAUACGACCUACGGGUGAAAGCGGGGGAUCGCAAGACCUCGCGCUAUUGGAGCGGCCGAUGUCAGAUUAGGUUGUUGGUGGGGUAAAGGCCUACCAAGCCGACGAUCUGUAGCUGGUCUGAGAGGACGACCAGCCACACUGGGACUGAGACACGG
Molecule: ribosomal RNA, 299 nt
Filed under: uncultured bacterium
Lineage: Bacteria
Description: partial 16S ribosomal RNA
Rfam family: Bacterial small subunit ribosomal RNA
Source: RNAcentral